CAGAGUAGAAAAAUACAUUUAUUUUAGAUAAAGUCAGCUUCACAGACAGUAGUAGCUUUGCGAGUGUUACUGAAGAUACUGUUAGUGCAAGCACGUUUUUGAUGUCUGCUCAGAACUGCUCUAGUUAAAUCUAACUGCAUCUCACCACUCCUUCUUGCUGCAAUUAUUUAUCCAGAACAUUUCUUCCAGCUGUGCUGACUGGCCCUUUCAGAGAUUGUCGACAUUUCCUCUUGGUUUUCUUCUCCCUACUUGGCCUGUUUUGUAGGUUUUCUUCCAGCUAUUCAAGAGCAUGAUGAUCUAACUCCAUGAAGGAUUAAGUUGUUAAAACAGGCAGAGGCUGACCAGAGAUCUAUUGAUGGCUGAGUUCUAUCUUUGAUAUCUCUGACAGUAAAGAGAUUGUGCCCUACCCAGUCCAUCCUUCUGUGCCUUCUGCUCUGCAGGGCUUUUUCCAAUUAACGGUCAUUGCAAAAUCAAUUUUCUCUAGUUAGGGCCCUCAACAAUCUCUGGAACUUUGUUUAAUGUUUGCAAGAGAUUUGUGGAAUCUGCUUUUUUAUGCUUUGGUAAUAAUCUGGUAGGUUUUAACUUGGUCUCUCUGACAUGAUAAUAAUACAUAGCCCACAGUAAGGCAGCGACCCACCAAGGAUACCUUGUGUGAGAACUAAGCAGGGUAUGUGGGGGAUGUCCUUACCUAUCCCAAAAUCCCACGGCUCUAUACUGGAUCACUGUGACUGGGAGGUGAAAUGAAAUGGAAGGAGAGAGGGAAAAGUUGUUUUUUGCCAUGAUUAUGAAGUCUUUGUGGUUUUAAGCCACUCAGGCUGAAUAUCCUAACUGAAUAUGCUCCAAUAGCUAUGCCAGGUUAUACUUGCAAUAUGGUAUAAAAUUCAUGGCAUCGAGUUCUGACAGAAGCAGCCAAGGCAAUGUGCAGCUCAGUUCAGGUUUGCUGUACAGACAUUAUCUAAUUUUAAAGGGAAUAACUCCAGCGUGGGCCAUUGCUAAGCCUGGGGGAAGAGGCCAUGCACUGACUUGUGCACAUGGUUUGGGAAAAUGGUAGUGGUUGGGCAAGGGGGAAGGAGGUGCAGAAGGGAUCAGGAGCAGUGUUUGGAAGAACUAGGCUGAGUCUGAGAGCUGCUACGUUUCUUUUCCUACAGUACAUGGAUAUUGCUGCCACAGGACUAAAGCACAUCUUGCUUACUUUGCAAUGGAACUUGAGAUUAAAAGGAGCAAUUAAAAAGGUAUUCAGAAACUGUUUUUUCUCUAUCUUAGGAAAAUAAAACAGAAGAAAAAGACAACUGCUAAUCAUACAAGCUAAUACUCUUUUACUUAAGAGACCUAUUCGUCUUAUUGCAAAACAUAAUGCUGUCCAAAGAUUGCUGAGCUUGCUCUGAAGGGGUAAAGCUGAGUGCUAGAAACACUACAGUUGUGUUGGAAUAGUCCUUGGUGGGGCUGGAGCACCUCUGCACACGCAGGGGUUUUCUCCUAUAUGCACAUAUGCACACUGCUAUGCACAUUGCAUAUUGCUAUUCCUAAUCCUCCAAGGCAAGUAUCAAACCAGAGCCCUAACCAUCUAAGUAAGACUGCUAAAUAAGAAGAGUGACAAGCAGGUUAUAGGUCCCCAUCCUGGACUUUGAUCAGGCUUCCACUAUAGACUACAAUAUCAGUCAGAGUUUUAUCCCUUGUUUUGUCAACAAAAGUCACUCUGUGGAUUUAGUUAUGACAAAACUGUGCAUUCACCAGGGUCACUUAUUUCACCCAUAUUACGCAGCAAAAAUGAAAUUCUGCCAGAAUAAACAUGUCUACACCAUGUGCUAGAACAGCUUACUAGAAAUAGCUACUCCAAGACAGCUCUCUGCUAUGGCCCAUGUUUAUCACAGGGAAACUGGGAGAUCUUGCUCUAGCACAGAUCAAACUGCAAGACAUAAGGUCAGACAGCAAGAGUCUGGGAAGUGUCCCAAUUCCUAAUGUUACUUCUCUUUGCCUUAGUAGCAAAGAGGUAUUGGCAGCUUUAGUCACGCUGCCUCAUGCAGAGGAGCUACGGACCAGGGGAAGCUAACUGUUUCUGUCUGGUUUAAUUUGACCACUUAAACAGUUAAUCCCUUUGUAAUGUCAUUUUUUGGCAUAGACAUCAUGUCUGUCUACUUCUGAAAAGAUCUUUUUAUUAAUACAGCUUUUUAGCAUAUGAAACAGUUUGCAUCAGCUUACAGUGCCUUAGCAGCAGCAGACCGCUGUCGGUAGGUAUGCACACAGACAGGCACACAGACAUAGGCAUCUAUCCAUCCACAUUACGUCUAAACAUCCCUUGCUCAGUCCCUUCUAAUUCUUCUGAUUUAUUUAUUUGGUCACUUUUUCCAGUGUUUUCAUAUCUUUUGUUUCAUGGACAACGUUGCUACCUUGUUCCAGUAUGUUUAGCUCAGGCUCUGCUUUGCUUUAAAUCCUCCCUUACUUGUAAAUAGUGAACAUACUGGAGGGAGUCCAAUGAUUAAGGGACUGGAGCAUCCCAAAUGAGGAAAGGCUGAGAGAGCUGGGAACGGUUUCCCUCAGAGUAGAGAAGGUUCUGGACAGAUAAUAUAUAUAUAAAUAUCUGAAAAAGAUGGAGCCAGGCUCUUUUUCGUGGUGCCCACUGAUGAUAUAACACACAUAAACUGAAACACAAGAAGUAGUAUCUGAAUAUAACCCUGCCCACAGCAGGAAGGUUGGAACUAGAUGAUCUUUGAGGUCCCUUCCCAAAUUGUUAUAUCAUUCUAUGAUAAGGAAACUCUUCUUUACUAUGGGAAUGACUGAGCAAUGGAGCAGGUUGCCCAGAGAAUUUGUAGAGUCUGCAUCCUUGGAGAUGUUCAAAAGCUGCCUGGACACAUGCUGAGCAAUGGGCACUAGGAAGCCCUGCAUGAGCAAAAGAAGACUUUACUCAAUGACCUCCAGAGUGCCUUCUGAAAUCAGCAGGUGUGGGAUUCUCUGAAAUAGGAUCGUUAGAUUAGCACUUAGGUUCAGCAGGACAAUGGUGCAGGGAAUUUGUUUGUUUUGGUUUGUUUCUCAGUAUGUAAAGAGUUUGUGACAACUUCAGGGCACACUGAAAUAAUUUCAACUGCAGUAGCAACCACUUGCAGUAGACAGCAUACAGGGAAACGACUUUCAUAAUUAAUAUCAACAUGCACAGUCCCGAUGCUGAGAAAGCGGCAUCUGUAACUAGACAAGUAGACGGGAGCUGCUCUCUUCCACGGUUCUUUUAUUUAUCCCUGCAUGAAAGUGAUGAAAUGUCAUCUGUUUUUGCACGUGUGAAAAGAUCUUGCACAGAGGACUCAUGGCUAAGAACGUGCAUGUUGUGUUUUCACAGCAAAAAUAAUGUUGGUUUGCAAUGCCGAGGUAUGUAGUAUUUUUACUAGAGCUGUGAGAGAUUAAAAAAACUGCUGAGAAGACAUGGCCCUAUAUGUCUCUUUUUUUCCCCCUUUCUUUUCUAAUUAAUUUAAAUUAAUUUAAUUUAAGUCCACUCAGAAAUAUAGUCAGAAGUAGAGGAGGAGAGGGAGUGGAACAUAGACAAAUAGGGGAAUGAAAACUGAGCAUGAUUUAAAUAGGAAAAUCAAGUUUCACCUGCACCUGGAGUAAUUGUGGAAAGACAUGGCUUUCCAACAGAUGAUGAUUUUUUUUUUUUAAGUACCUGUAAUGGGCCAUGGGAAGGUGAUGGAGUAACAGAGUAGCUGAACUUGACUGAAAAUAUGUUUAAUUUAGAGAUUGCCAGAUACCCUUCUGGCAACUUCAUAUUAAGGUUUUUAUAUGCUGUGGGGUAUUUCUUGUUCUCUGGGUCAAAUUUGGAUAUAUUCUUACGGUAGAAUGUAUUGUGUGUCAGCUGACAUGCAUUAUGCUCUAUCUAUGUCUUGUGAAAGUAAAAUUAGGCAAGCAAGAUGUUCUGAGGCAAAAUUUGAAUAAGAUACAUUAGAAUUAAGAAAACAGAUACAGAAACACGCUUUCAUGGGUUAGAGAAGAAGAUUUAAAACAAGAAAUCUAAAAGGCCUGAAAAUAUAGUAACUGUCCUUAAAUUGUCUCUAGUAAAUUUACUUUCUAAAAGAAGAUAUCCAAAGACUUAAUUGUAUUUCAUGCCCCUAGCUCUAAUGCCACACUGUUUCAGUAUUUAUAUAUGCCCUGUAAAGCUGGUAUAUUUGAUAUGUCAUUCAUUAGUCUGUGCUGGCUUAUUCUUUGAGGUGUGGUAAUUAAGAUCAGUUCUUUAGAGGAUUCAGUUAUUCUGUUUUGGGCUUGUUAAUAUGUUAGUUGUGUAUUCUGAUUCCAAUUGUUUAAUGGUUUCCAUUAAAUAAUGAAUAAAACCCCUUUCGGGAAGCCAGUUAGAAAUGCAUGACUUAUUCAGUGUGAGGUAUCUUCAAAUCUUGGCAGCUUUGGGCUGAGGAAGAAUUGAAAAAUAGUUUUAUCCCCAACCACACAGUGACAAAGUGAUUGGAUUGUUUUAUAUGGUAGUGAAAUUGUUUGUACGGGAAAGUGACUUUGUCUUUGUUACAUAUUUGUUUCAUAAAUUAGAAAAAAAGAUCUAAGGUAAACGUUCAGCUCAUCUGGUUUAUAACAGAAACCAUGACUAUAGUGGAUAGAGUACAAAGAUGAGCUCAUCCAAGAAUUCUUCUGAAACAGCAAUUUAUCACCUAGGUAAUUUUAAAGGUUCCUCGUGUCAUUGUAAGGGUGGCAGACGCAGACUUUAAAAAAAUGUUCUUUAUAGUACCUGAAUAGGCUGAUGCUUAAAACAGAGACUUAACUAAUGAUAGACUAUGCAUCUUGUAACUAUUGGCUAAAAAUCUUCAGCAUCUGCACUGAAAUGGAUCACAGAAAAUUGUCUCUUCUUCCAUUCAACAAGGAUGACUUCCAGUAUCAUUAGCAAUUGUUCCCAAGAAAAUUCUGGUUUGGAUUAUAUUAUAUAUACAAUGGGAAUUUAUUUGAGGUUUCCCAAGUUUACUAGUUCCAUUCCCAUGAGCUAACAGACAGUAGAUCAAGUGCUUAACAGUCAAGAAUUCCCAUGGCAAAUAUCCACCAACGUCCCUUUCAUCUGAUGCAAUGGCAUAGUGCCCAUUCUUCUGCUUCAUCAUUCUCCUUCAGUAUACUCAGAGUUCCAGGAAAGGGCCAUAUCAUGUAUUAGACUUCGCGGGAGACAUGAAGCCUAAUCUUUAAAACCUUAUGGUUCUAUUUCGUUUUUUUUUUGCUGACCACUGGAAACAAUUACAGAACAGACAACACAUGAGAAUGUCUGACAGCUUCUUCAGUUUCUUUGCGCUCAAUUGCUUAAUGAGACUUUAGGUUUAUGCUUAUUGCAAUCACAGUACCAGAGACUUCAUUUACAUCUACAUCUUGCAAAUGGACAAGAACUGGGUAACUGAUGGUCAAGGUGGCUCUCGUGAGGGCACCUGAAACCCACCUGUUUGGCCUGGACAUACCUGCUGAUAUUGGCACUAUGGAUCUCACAUCAAGGUAAAUUAAUGGAAGUGUCUUACAACACCCUGGGAACCCAAACUGCAGCCCAUCUGUACUCAAAUCACAUCAGAGAUGUCUACCAGGGCAAUCCGUCAUCGAGCAUGAAGAGAGAUGUGGAUCAAAAAAGCGGGUGACUACAUUCAGCCAGAGGCAGCCUAAACCGUGAUAAGCAACUCCUCUGUAUGGACCAGACAAGGGGCUGCAGAUGCAGCUUUAAAGGUGAGAUCUGCAUACCACAAGAUGAGGACAAUAGGACCCAUCCAGACAGCUAAUGUGAUUCGCCAAUGUAAGCUGCAAGACUUCAGUUCUCGGUUGCAGUUGCAUUAUUACACCCUAUGCUCUGUAUGGGGAAACAAUUAAAACAGGUUUGGCAUACUAGAGAAAACACCAGAAUAUGACAUUGCUGCAUAACAUAGAAGACCUUCUCUUGCUUUUAUGUACAUAUUUGUUGCAAAGAAGAAUAAGAAAGUGUUUAAGGAAUAUAUUAACUCCCCUACAGUUCCUUAAAAUGAAAGUAUGGGCUAUGAAUUAUGUACACCUCUCUGUAAGGACCAAAGCCUGACAAAAAAAAGAAACAGAAGAUUUGCAUUCAGAGACGUCUCUAUUUUAAUAGAGAAGGAUUUUACCCAAAAGUACGUGCUACUGUGUGACAGACAGCUGCUUGACUGGCAAGAGGGAAGCAGAUGACUACCUGAUGAUGGCCAAUUUUCCUGCAGCUCAGCUGGAGGGCUUCUAGUCCAAGCCAAGUUGUCUUGGCUCCCUCUAUAGUCCAAAUAAAGAAAAAGGCACUUCUGGAGAGCAGCUGUUCUCAUACCACACGUUUAUCUUUGGUGCACUGAUGCCUCUUGAUCCCCAGCGUGCUGCAGAGGGGACCUUGAUGAGCAUCUUAGACAAGAACUCAAGUAUUUGACAGUCAACACCAGGUGAGAUGAACUAUAAUGACUGGUGCAACUGAUACACGUAGUUAAUGCCAAAGUACACCUGUGCCCAUUAAUUUAGUCACAUGCGUCAGGCUUCAAAAAUCCAGAUGAGCACUUGAGAUUUGAUUCAAGCUUUAUAACUAUCUGUUUCAUAUUUGAAUCAAAAGUGGCUAUAAAGUGAAAUGUGAGAUUCUCAUAUGUAUGUUACAGUGUUAUGAAAACAGCCAGCUGAGAGGGCAAAACGAGGCAGCGCCUUAUAACUUUUCCUCAUCACAGAGAGGCAUGAAGCAAGCCUGUAGUUUGCAUUUUGCCUACAGCCCUCUCCAAGAAAGAGGGUGGAUGGUUGUUUUCAAUUGUUCAGCUUUGGUGCAGGUCUUUGCAAACCAUAAUUUGAAAGUAAUUGUGGUAAUUACUGCAACUGAAAAAGUUAAAAUGUGCAAGUUCAAUUUUGCUCAGGUAAAGCUGUGCCAGUAAUGGCACCAUUCAUCAUUUUCUGUAAAAACAGUAACAGGUGUUAAUCUACACUCACUGAUGGGAGCAAUGUGAGUGCACAAUAAGCAAAGUGCCAAAAAAAAAAAAAAAAAAAAAACCCACCACCAAAGUACUGUCACCGAGAAAGAACUUCUAGUAAUGUCUUUGUAAUUGGACUCAACUGAAGAGUGAAAAAUUAUUUGACUUUUCAGUGAUGGAGAUUGCUAAUGAACCCAAUUUUUCUCUUCCACCUUGAUUAGCUUUCUGUAGGAAGAUCCAUUGUAGCUCUGCACAAUGAAGCUUGCAGGAAUAGACACCCAGCUGCUGUAAUUUUAUCAGCCCUCCCACUUACUGAAAAGUAAUCUUUUUUCUUUUUUUUUUUUUUUCUUCUUUGACAGGCUGUUGAACUAACUGUUACUAGGUUUUCAAACAUAAUGGAAAACAGUGGGAAGUAGAAUUUAAAUAGGACUUGAACAGCAAUUUUGCAAUUUUUCCAGCCUUAACAGAAACUUUAUAAGACUUCUAAAUGCCUCACACAUCCUGUCCUCCCAAGGUUCUGGAUGUUACUUGUGAGAUACCCUUGGACUAGGGUUGUGUCUUCUGCUCAUUGCUGUACAGAGCUAUCUUAUGGAGCAAGAGGAUAGCCAAAAUAUCCUGUGCUUUGUGUGUGAACUUACUAAAUGGCAUCCAAUUUAUCUACAGAGAACAUUUAAGCAAGCAGAAAAGUAUUUCCCAUUGUGUAUGCACAAUCAGACUGGUACACUGCACAGUUAGUUUCUGCUAUGAAUUCCAGAGAGUUCAAAAGGUAACAUUAGUUGCACCUAUGUGGUUUUGCUCAAGUAAAUGAGGACAUUUUCUCUGCACAGUGCCCACACUUUCGCUACUAGCAGCUACUUCUAGUUGUGCACAGCCAAGAGCCAUUUUCUUUCAAAAUAUGUUCCAUGAUCCCAAACUUUUCUGCGUGGACUUAUUUGGGAAAGAACAAAGCCAGCUGAUGCCCUUGCUCCAGUCGAUGGGGGUACAUACAACCCUGUCUGGAGGAGUGAAGUCAGGUGAGUGCAAUCAGGAUACAUGCAGUUGGAAACCUUCCUGCCUUUCCUCCCAUCAGGUCUUUGUCAUACUCUACUCUAAAUAAGAGCACAUGUUACUUAAGACAGUAAUGUGAACAUUUUGCAAGGCGAAUUGCUGCAGAUAUGUAAUGGCAGAAUGUGGAAGAGGAUAAGCAACAAAUGCUCUGCAUUGUCAGGCUCAUACCACAGAUUAUCUCCUAGAGAAUUACAUUACUCCACCUGGAUGCUAAUAAAUAUAUUCAAGUAAAUUCCACUAUAUUAGUAUGGCAUUUUUAGCUUAAAAAUGUAUUAAACUCAAUUCAUACAAAAGUAUUAGCAUUUCAAAACUAGACCUAUACAGAAAUAUUUUCCUUACCAAUUUCCUGAUCUGAGUCACUGCUUUUAAUUCAAGACAGCUGUUCCAUGACAGGACAGGACUCAACUGAGAUCCCAGUGAUGACUCCAUUGCCUUGGGUGUAGUAACGAAGACGUGGCCACUGCAGGGUUGUGGUCUGGUUUUUAAACAUAACAUGGCAAGUUAGUGAAACAUUAAAAUGCAAGAGAUCAUUAUAUUCAAGACUUUCUCUUCCCUGCUCCUUCUCCUAAAGGGGAAAUCAGACACACAGGAUUGUAGACUUCUGCCACCACUUGCCAUGGGUGGGUGCAGUUGGACACCAGCUUAAGGCAGAAAGGACAAAGCUGAGGAUGAGCUGAAAGUGCUUGCACCAGCCCCACGGCUCCAUGCUCCUCCAGUGUGUUUUUGAGUAGCAUCAUGCUUCUGAGAAUAUGUUCCUUAGAGGACUUGGUGAAAAAGAAUAAGAGCAUGAUAAGCAAGACCAAAUAAAUAUUACAUAAACUUAUUUUCAUAAGUAAAUCUCAAGGUACUUUACAAUGGAAGGUCCAUCUUUUUUCCUUUAUGCAACACGAGAAACUGAGGCACAGAGAAAGUACAUAAAUAAAUAUAAAUUAUAAAUUCUUCAGAUUUUGUCUUGAACAGAAAUCAGAAUUUACAAUUCAUUGGUUAUUCUGAAAUAAAAAAUAAAAUAUAAAAUAUUGAAAGGGAGAAAAGUAAACUGGAACUUUGUUGUCAACAUUAGACAGGAAGCUAGAAAAUGUUGUCACUUUAACCCAGGGAAUGUCCUUCGUCAUUGUAUAUUACAGUGUUAAAAAGGUAUAAUCAGUAGUACAGAUUAAAAGUCAAAUAACAGUAAUUAUAAUGAUGAAAUAUAUCUUUUAUUGAAAUAUGUCAUAUUAAAAAGAAAUAAAAUGAACAGUGUACAUUAUUCUCAAUUGACAAUUUUGUUUAUACAAUCAAAUUUCUGCAAAAUACUCCAACUAUGAAAACAAAGUUUUUUUUUUUAAUGGAAAGGGGUUUAGUUUAUCUUAAGACUUGAUGUGGUGACAUUAUGUUGGCUGUGUUUUAUGCUGUGGAUUUACUGUCAUACCCAGUGACGUCAGCACAGACCACGUCAUUAAGUUAGGGGUUCACCACUUCAACCAAGUGUUUAGCUUUCUGGGUUGAAGGUUUGGAGAAAUUUAUUUGUGGGAUAAAUGGAGAUUUAGGCUGUUGAAGCAUAAGUGUUGUUUAGAAAAUAUGUGCUAUUUACAUUGUGCACAAAACUAUAUGAGACACAGAUAUAAGAAUGUAUUACUAUGUAUAUAUCUAGUAUAAACACACCAUGAUUAAAUAUCAUUUGUUCUGUAAUUGUCAAUUGAGAAAAUAAAUUGUAAGACAAAAGCAUUGGUAAUGAUUGAACACAGACAGUUUAAUCAAGCAGCAACUUUUGAAGAAGUAAUUUUGUCCUAAAAGUCAAAAGUAAGUAAAGCCAUAAUUGAACUUAAACUGCUGAAGUUCAAAUUAAAGCACAUAUUCACCAUCAAUGACUGUGCCUAAAGACACAGGCAGUGAUACAGAGGCAGAAGUGAGAAGCACAGCUGGUUCAAGCACAGCUGGCACCUCCCUGGGAAAGUGCCAAUAAUCCCUCUGACACAUGCAAGGCUCCCAGUGCUGGAGAAAACCAAGAAUACAGGGCUAAAAUUUGGCAGCUACUUAUCAGCAUGUGAUUUAGUGACAUAAGAUAGCUAAGUACAUAAUUACCUAUAUAUAUAUUUUUUAAUUCUCAAAAUACUGCUGGUGCACAGGAGUUCUCAAUGGGAAUCAGGAAGAAAUCUGGGAGACUUUCCAAGUGCAGGAUUGGAAGGCUUACAUAGUCACAAUUAUGAUUUUAGAAAAACAGACCACAAAUAUGUCACGCAGACUGGAGAGUGUGAUGUAUAGAUAAACACAUACACACUGCAUUGAUUGUAUUUUGUAACAAAAGGGAUGAAGACCAGCAUGUGUGUCUUUGACAGGAUAGCUCAAACAAAAAUCACAUGUACAGCAAACAUUCCCCAUAAUUCUUGAAAUUAGGCAAAAGUGUGUUAAAACUCCAAGUUGCACAAGGACUUAAAAUGCUUGUAUGCAGUUUGGGAAAUGAUUGAAGGAAAAUAGAAAGUGUCUGUGACAAGAAAGCAAAAAGACAGCUUUGAGAUGAUGGUAACAUAUUUUUAGAGCAUAAGUAAGUUCUCUUAAAAUCAGUUCUCUCUAUGCUUGUUCAUUACUCCUAGUCAUAUUACUAGAAAUUCCUUCAACGUACCUGGGAGCACAAAUUAACAUAAUAUUAGCAAUGAAUCUACUGACAUAUUUCAAGUACUUGGACUACUGUGAACUGAGAGAUUGAGUCAAUUUUAAGAGAUCACUUAAAAUCAACUUCAGUACAUUGUUUCUCCUGGUGUGAAGUAAUGUGGUUAUGUGGUCUCACUCAACAAAGUCGUGCCUGCGUGGAGCAGCUGGUGUGCCUGAUCUUCACGUGUGGUCUCCCCUUGAUUUUGCUGGAUUCAGGAUCAUCUGCAGAGAGCACAUGUAUCUGGAUAAUGGAUUUGCCUCACUGAAAUUGCAGCCUUCAAGACAGACCAGCAGCUCAGCAGUGCACCUGGAUACUUUAGCAGGAAAUGAAGCUGUUUGGAAUACAAAGGAAAAAAAAAUCUGCAUGGGUCAUGUUUUUCAUAUGAAAAUAAUUAGAUAUUGUAGAUAUUCCUUCCCCUCUCUGGAUGAUUCUCACAGAUCAAUGAGUGGAGGCUGUCCUGAGUGGUCCAGGACAGUGGUCCAGGUUAAUAAGUACUUUGUUAAACCUAUUCACAUCUUUCCUUAAUCACAGAUCUUACAUAAACUCUGUUAUCAAUACUCGAUACUUCCAAAGGAGAGCUAAAACGAGAGAGAGUCUGUUUCAGAAAAGCACUGAAUGCACACAUACAAAUCACACAGAUGGGCUUACUGCUGACAAACAGACAAAAAUCAAAAAUUAAAUGUCCACAUUCCUUAUCAAGAAAAGGAAACAAACAAAUAAAAGAUCAGAAGAAGGGAUCAUUCAGUAUUUUUUCCCAAUAUUAUAUGAAUAGUCUAUUUGUAAGCCUGGAGAGUGAUGUGUUUAAACUGGAAGCAUAAAUGUAUAUUUCAAUACAAAAGCACAAGAACAUCUGUAUUUCUAACUGUUUAUGUCACAAUUUGCACAUAUUUUCUUAUGUCUUCCAACCAAAAUUUAUUCUACCUAUUUUUUUUAAUAAUAAGUUUCUAAGAAUAGGUAUAUUAAAUAAAAGAAAUUAUGUGUGGGAUGCAAAUUCUCAUUAUAAAAAUGUUUCUAUCCCUCUGGCUUUAGAGAUAACUUACCAAACAUAAAUUGCUUCAGUAAUAAGGUUUCAUGAAUACAUUACAUAUCCCUGCAUAAAUUUGUGGGGAGCACUUUUUGUCUGAAGCAUAGAAAACAUUCCACAAUAAAUACAAAUGUUCAUA
RNAcentral lists this long non-coding RNA (11726 nucleotides) under Gallus gallus (chicken). RNAcentral describes it as "lncRNA (ENSGALG00010028378.1)". Lineage: Eukaryota; Metazoa; Chordata; Aves; Galliformes; Phasianidae. The record is from RNAcentral.